RNAcentral lists this non-coding RNA (209 nucleotides) under Sphingomonas sanxanigenens. Lineage: Bacteria; Pseudomonadati; Pseudomonadota; Alphaproteobacteria; Sphingomonadales; Sphingomonadaceae. RNAcentral also lists the same sequence under 1 other name. The record is from RNAcentral.
CGAUGCUGAGGAUGUCGAGGUUCUUCGGUCGGGCUCGCCCCCGCCGAAGCUAAGACGGGAAGCCGGUGCGAUGCCGGCGCUGCCCCCGCAACUGUAAGCGGCGAGCGGUUGGUCGAUAUGUGUCACUGGCGGCGUUCGCGCAGCCGGGAAGGCCAGACCAUCCGUGCUGACCCGCGAGCCAGGAGACCUGCCUCCGACGCGAUAACGUC